This 253-nucleotide ribosomal RNA is filed under the name uncultured bacterium. RNAcentral describes it as "partial 16S ribosomal RNA". It matches the Rfam family "Bacterial small subunit ribosomal RNA", at positions 524 to 776 of the family's 1533-position model. The record is from RNAcentral.
UACAGAGGAGCCAAGCGUUGUCCGAAGUUACUGGGCGUAAAGCGCGCGUAGGCGGGUUGGUAAGUCCGCUGUGAAAGCCCGGAGCUCAACUCCGGAGGGUCGGUGGAUACUGCCAGUCUUGAAGGUGCUAGGGGGAGAUGGAAUUACCGGUGUAGCGGUGAAAUGCGUAGAUAUCGGUAGGAACACCAGUGGCGAAGGCGGUCUCCUGGGGCAUUCUUGACGCUGAGGCGCGAAAGCUGGGGGAGCGAACGGG